Dama dama (fallow deer) is the source of this 1765-nucleotide long non-coding RNA. RefSeq lists it as uncharacterized. The record is from RefSeq and is a predicted model, not a curated record. NCBI's taxonomy places the organism in Eukaryota, Metazoa, Chordata, Mammalia, Artiodactyla, Cervidae. The transcript is spliced from 2 exons.
UGCUGGGUCAUAUGGUAAUUCUAUACUUGAUUUUUUGAGGAAAUGCCAUACUAUUUUCCACAGAUGUACCAUUUACAUUUUUACCAAUAGCACACAAAGUUUCCCUUUCUUUACAUCCUCAUCAACACUUAUUUCCUUUCUUGUUUGUUUGUUAGUAUCCAUCCUAAUGGAUGUGAGGUGGUAUCUCAUUGUAGUUUUUAUUUGCAUUUCCCUGCUCAUCGGUGGUAUGAGCCACUCUCACAAUCUGUCUUUUGAUUAGUUCUUUUAGACCACUGACAUUCAAAAGUGGUUACUGGUAUAGUUGUAUUCAUAUGUACCAUAUUUGUUACUGUUUCCUACUUAUUGCCCUUCUUCUUUAUUCCUAUUUUUUAUAUUCCAUUCUUCUACCUUUCAUGAUUUUAACUGAGCAUUUUAUAUGAUUCCAGUUUCUCUCCUUUCCCAGCAUAAAGAAAAAUCUUUUUUUUAGUUUUUUAGUGGUUGCCCUAGAGUUUGCAAUAUACAUUUACAACUAAUCCAGGUCCAUUUUCUUUUUUAAAGAUUUUGGCUAGUUUUAUUUUUAGUUAUACUGGGUCUUCAUUGCUGGGUGUGGGCUUUCUCUAGUUGUGGUGGGAGGGGCCUAGUCUUCAUGCACUGCCCUGGCUUCUCAUUGUAGUGGCCUCUCUCGUUGUGGAGCACAGGCUCUAGUUGCAAGGGCUUCAGUAGUUGCAGCAUUCGGGCUCAGCAGUUGUGGUGAAUGGAUUUAGUUGCUCCGUGGCAUGUGGAAUCUUCCUGGACCAAGGAUUGAACCCAUGUCCCCUGCAUUAGCAGUCAGAUUCUUCUCCAAUGUUCCACCAGGGAAGUCCAGGUCCACUUUCUAAUAACACUAUACAACCUCAUGGGUAAUGCGUUUUUCUUUUUUUUUUUUAGUAUUUUUUUAUUUGGCUGUGCCAGGUCUUAGUUGCAGCAUUCGGGAUCUUCAAUCUUCCUUGAAGACCAUGUGGUGUCUAGUUCCCUGACUAAGGAUCGGAACCCGGGCCCCCUGCCUUAGGAGCCUGGAAUCUUAACUGUUGGACCACCAGGAAGUCUCGUUCAGUCGCUCAGUCAUGUCUGACUCUUUGCGACCCCAUGGACUGCAGCGCGCCAGGCUUCCCUGUCCAUCACCAACGCCCGGAGCUUGCUCAAACUGAUGUCCAUUGAGUCAGUGAUGCCAUGGCCAUGCGCACUGAACUGCUAGCAACUCAUCAACUACCCUUCAGGCUUCCCUACCUGCAUGGGCUCCCACGGAGGUUCCAGCUCGUGGGUUUCUGCUCAGGUAGAUCUGAUUCUCUGUAUUCACCUGUCUGUCUCUCCAACCUGGGGUGCGGCAGUUUGCUGCUCUCACUUCUGCGACCUCACUGUCACAGGUCCCUGGCCCUCUGCGACCUUCCGUCACUUGCUGUGACCUCACUUCUUUUACACAUCUAAGAAGAGUUGCUGACUUCUCAGUUUUCUCAGCCUUCUAUUUGCUGUUAGGACAGACUAGCAACUUCCCAAAAGACCAUGAUCUUUUAUACACGUGAUCUUAUCCUCCAUUACAGGAUGUUCUGCAUUCACUUCUGUGGGGCUCCUGCACUAAGACUGAUCACAUUUAGUUAGUAAAGGAUUAACCGAAUUGGGGAUACAUUUCAGUUUUAUGAAUAUUCUAUCUACUUUUGUUGCAUCCUUGUUUCUUAGGCAGGAGCAUUCUGGGCUCUCAUUUCUCUUUAUUAUUUUUAUUUUUAAAGACUUAAUUAAAAAAAAAACUUUA